This 24-nucleotide non-coding RNA is filed under the name Rattus norvegicus (Norway rat). Lineage: Eukaryota; Metazoa; Chordata; Mammalia; Rodentia; Muridae. The record is from RNAcentral.
AUUACCUCUGCCAAAGGAGUCUGC